GUGGGGAAUCUUAGACAAUGGGGGAAACCCUGAUCUAGCCAUGCCGCGUGAGCGAUGAAGGCCUUAGGGUUGUAAAGCUCUUUCAGCUGGGAAGAUAAUGACGGUACCAGCAGAAGAAGCCCCGGCUAACUCCGUGCCAGCAGCCGCGGUAAUACGGAGGGGGCUAGCGUUGUUCGGAAUUACUGGGCGUAAAGCGCACGUAGGCGGAUCAGAAAGUCAGAGGUGAAAUCCCAGGGCUCAACCUUGGAACUGCCUUUGAAACUCCUGGUCUUGAGGUCGAGAGUGGUGAGUGGAAUUCCGAGUGUAGAGGUGAAAUUCGUAGAUAUUCGGAGGAACACCAGUGGCGAAGGCGGCUCACUGGCUCGAUACUGACGCUGAGGUGCGAAAGCGUGGGGAGCAAACAGGAUUAGAAACCCGAGUAGUCC
RNAcentral lists this ribosomal RNA (425 nucleotides) under uncultured bacterium. RNAcentral describes it as "partial 16S ribosomal RNA". It matches the Rfam family "Bacterial small subunit ribosomal RNA", at positions 354 to 796 of the family's 1533-position model. The record is from RNAcentral.